AGAGUUUGAUCCUGGCUCAGAUUGAACGCUGGCGGCAGGCUUAACACAUGCAAGUCGAGCGGAGAUGAGGUGCUUGCACUUUAUCUUAGCGGCGGACGGGUGAGUAAUGCUUAGGAAUCUGCCUAUUAGUGGGGGACAACAUUCCGAAAGGAAUGCUAAUACCGCAUACGUCUACGGGAGAAAGCAGGGGAUCUUCGGACCUUGCGCCAAUAGAUGAGCCUAAGUCGGAUUAGCUAGUUGGUGGGGUAAAGGCCUACCAAGGCGACGAUCUGUAGCGGGUCUGAGAGGAUGAUCCGCCACACUGGGACUGAGACACGGCCCAGACUCCUACGGGAGGCAGCAGUGGGGAAUAUUGGACAAUGGGGGGAACCCUGAUCCAGCCAUGCCGCGUGUGUGAAGAAGGCCUUAUGGUUGUAAAGCACUUUAAGCGAGGAGGAGGCUACUGAGACUAAUACUCUUGGAUAGUGGACGUUACUCGCAGAAUAAGCACCGGCUAACACUGUGCCAGCAGCCGCGGUAAUACAGAGGGUGCGAGCGUUAAUCGGAUUUACUGGGCGUAAAGCGUGCGUAGGCGGCUUUUUAAGUCGGAUGUGAAAUCCCCGAGCUUAACUUGGGAAUUGCAUUCGAUACUGGGAAGCUAGAGUAUGGGAGAGGAUGGUAGAAUUCCAGGUGUAGCGGUGAAAUGCGUAGAGAUCUGGAGGAAUACCGAUGGCGAAGGCAGCCAUCUGGCCUAAUACUGACGCUGAGGUACGAAAGCAUGGGGAGCAAACAGGAUUAGAUACCCUGGUAGUCCAUGCCGUAAACGAUGUCUACUAGCCGUUGGGGCCUUUGAGGCUUUAGUGGCGCAGCUAACGCGAUAAGUAGACCGCCUGGGGAGUACGGUCGCAAGACUAAAACUCAAAUGAAUUGACGG
RNAcentral lists this ribosomal RNA (913 nucleotides) under uncultured bacterium. RNAcentral's name for it is "bacterial SSU rRNA". It matches the Rfam family "Bacterial small subunit ribosomal RNA", at positions 8 to 916 of the family's 1533-position model. The record is from RNAcentral.